RNAcentral lists this ribosomal RNA (1050 nucleotides) under Leuconostoc mesenteroides. RNAcentral describes it as "bacterial SSU rRNA". It matches the Rfam family "Bacterial small subunit ribosomal RNA", at positions 1 to 1030 of the family's 1533-position model. The record is from RNAcentral. Lineage: Bacteria; Bacillati; Bacillota; Bacilli; Lactobacillales; Lactobacillaceae.
UUUUAGGGUUUUGGGAUUAUGGCUCAGGAUGAACGCUGGCGGCGUGCCUAAUACAUGCAAGUCGAACGCACAGCGAAAGGUGCUUGCACCUUUCAAGUGAGUGGCGAACGGGUGAGUAACACGUGGACAACCUGCCUCAAGGCUGGGGAUAACAUUUGGAAACAGAUGCUAAUACCGAAUAAAACUUAGUGUCGCAUGACACAAAGUUAAAAGGCGCUUCGGCGUCACCUAGAGAUGGAUCCGCGGUGCAUUAGUUAGUUGGUGGGGUAAAGGCCUACCAAGACAAUGAUGCAUAGCCGAGUUGAGAGACUGAUCGGCCACAUUGGGACUGAGACACGGCCCAAACUCCUACGGGAGGCUGCAGUAGGGAAUCUUCCACAAUGGGCGAAAGCCUGAUGGAGCAACGCCGCGUGUGUGAUGAAGGCUUUCGGGUCGUAAAGCACUGUUGUAUGGGAAGAACAGCUAGAAUAGGAAAUGAUUUUAGUUUGACGGUACCAUACCAGAAAGGGACGGCUAAAUACGUGCCAGCAGCCGCGGUAAUACGUAUGUCCCGAGCGUUAUCCGGGAUUUAUUGGGCGUAAAGCGAGCGCAGACGGUUUAUUAAGUCUGAUGUGAAAGCCCGGAGCUCAACUCCGGAAUGGCAUUGGAAACUGGUUAACUUGAGUGCAGUAGAGGUAAGUGGAACUCCAUGUGUAGCGGUGGAAUGCGUAGAUAUAUGGAAGAACACCAGUGGCGAAGGCGGCUUACUGGACUGCAACUGACGUUGAGGCUCGAAAGUGUGGGUAGCAAACAGGAUUAGAUACCCUGGUAGUCCACACCGUAAACGAUGAACACUAGGUGUUAGGAGGUUUCCGCCUCUUAGUGCCGAAGCUAACGCAUUAAGUGUUCCGCCUGGGGAGUACGACCGCAAGGUUGAAACUCAAAGGAAUUGACGGGGACCCGCACAAGCGGUGGAGCAUGUGGUUUAAUUCGAAGCAACGCGAAGAACCUUACCAGGUCUUGACAUCCUUUGAAGCUUUUAGAGAUAGAAGUGUUCUCUUCGGAGACAAA